RNAcentral lists this long non-coding RNA (806 nucleotides) under Sarcophilus harrisii (Tasmanian devil). RNAcentral describes it as "lncRNA (ENSSHAG00000029888.1)". Lineage: Eukaryota; Metazoa; Chordata; Mammalia; Dasyuromorphia; Dasyuridae. The record is from RNAcentral.
GGAGUGUCCGCGAUGGGGGAGGCGGGAGCGGGACGUCUUUCCUCUCUAUUGUCUGCGGACCUACUCUUUGUCUUCUACUGUGAAUCGGAAGUAGUUUGUGGGAAAUCUCUCGGCCAAUGAGACUAUUCUUCCGCCCCUCUCCCUCCUUCCCUAGCUGAGACUCAAGGUCACGCAGAUGGUAACUGGCUCUGAGGUAUCAGUACCAUGUCUGUGUCAUAAAAGGAAUUUGAACAAAUUUGCUCCUCAAGGGGAACAUAGACUGCUGAAAAAUCAAGAAGACUUGGGGCAGAACUGUGGUCUUCUAGAUACAACCUGAAGAUCUGAAGAAAGGCCCUGGACUGGAGAUUAACCUGUCUGAAAUGCAAACACCCCCCCAGGCUAGCUUCACAGAAAAAUCAAGUUGGGGAGCCCUGAAGCUAGCUGGGUGUGACUAAAGCCUCUGCAGGAACUCCAGAGAUUUUCAGUUCCCAGAACUGUUUGUGGAGUCAGGAUUUGAAUCUGGGAUGACAGAGUGAACCUCAGACAAUUGGGAAUGCUGAGCCUAGCUGUGCUGCUGAGAGAUGGCCCUGGGCAAGAAGGAACCACCACCUGCUAAACCAGCAUUGUUCAUUUUAUCUCCUGUGCUUCUUUUUGUGUCAUUUGAAGUCUUUUUGGCCAAAUGAUUCCUGUUUCCAUUACUCUUCUGAAUGAUUUGUAUUUGACAAAUACCCACCUUUCAACUAAACUAAAUCAUCUCAGCAAUAUUGAAGAAUCAAAAUGGAAGGAAUCUACAAAGAGAAGAAAAAUGGAAAAGAUUUUCAAUAAGC